RNAcentral lists this ribosomal RNA (951 nucleotides) under Salmonella enterica. RNAcentral describes it as "partial 23S ribosomal RNA". It matches the Rfam family "Bacterial large subunit ribosomal RNA", at positions 1213 to 2141 of the family's 2925-position model. The record is from RNAcentral. Lineage: Bacteria; Pseudomonadati; Pseudomonadota; Gammaproteobacteria; Enterobacterales; Enterobacteriaceae.
CUUAGGGAUACGUUCGUUGGGUAGGGGAGCGUUCUGUAAGCCGUUGAAGGUGGCCUGUGAGGGUUGCUGGAGGUAUCAGAAGUGCGAAUGCUGACAUAAGUAACGAUAAAGCGGGUGAAAAGCCCGCUCGCCGGAAGACCAAGGGUUCCUGUCCAACGUUAAUCGGGGCAGGGUGAGUCGACCCCUAAGGCGAGGCCGAAAGGCGUAGUCGAUGGGAAACGGGUUAAUAUUCCCGUACUUGGUGUUACUGCGAAGGGGGGACGGAGAAGGCUAUGUUGGCCGGGCGACGGUUGUCCCGGUUUAAGCGUGUAGGUGUGUGUUCCAGGUAAAUCCGGUUCACUUUAACACUGAGGCGUGACGACGAGGCACUACGGUGCUGAAGCAACAAAUGCCCUGCUUCCAGGAAAAGCCUCUAAGCAUCAGGUAACAUCAAAUCGUACCCCAAACCGACACAGGUGGUCAGGUAGAGAAUACCAAGGCGCUUGAGAGAACUCGGGUGAAGGAACUAGGCAAAAUGGUGCCGUAACUUCGGGAGAAGGCACGCUGACACGUAGGUGAAGUGAUUUACUCAUGGAGCUGAAGUCAGUCGAAGAUACCAGCUGGCUGCAACUGUUUAUUAAAAACACAGCACUGUGCAAACACGAAAGUGGACGUAUACGGUGUGACGCCUGCCCGGUGCCGGAAGGUUAAUUGAUGGGGUCAGCGCAAGCGAAGCUCCUGAUCGAAGCCCCGGUAAACGGCGGCCGUAACUAUAACGGUCCUAAGGUAGCGAAAUUCCUUGUCGGGUAAGUUCCGACCUGCACGAAUGGCGUAAUGAUGGCCAGGCUGUCUCCACCCGAGACUCAGUGAAAUUGAACUCGCUGUGAAGAUGCAGUGUACCCGCGGCAAGACGGAAAGACCCCGUGAACCUUUACUAUAGCUUGACACUGAACAUUGAGCCUUGAUGUGUAG